UACUAAUGUUAUCGCUACUUCGUUUAAA
Molecule: small RNA, 28 nt
Filed under: Bombyx mori (domestic silkworm)
Lineage: Eukaryota; Metazoa; Arthropoda; Insecta; Lepidoptera; Bombycidae
Description: ovarian small RNA-21248
Source: RNAcentral